UACGUAGGAGGCGAGCGUUGUCCGGAAUUACUGGGCGUAAAGGGUGCGUAGGUGGCGUGGUAAGUCUGGUGUGAAAUCCCGGGGCUCAACCCCGGAACUGCACUGGAUACUGCCAUGCUUGAGUACUGGAGAGGAGAUUGGAAUUUACGGUGUAGCAGUGAAAUGCGUAGAUAUCGUAAGGAAGACCAGUGGCGAAGGCGAAUCUCUGGACAGUUACUGACACUGAGGCAGCGAAGGCCAGGGGAGCAAACGGG
RNAcentral lists this ribosomal RNA (254 nucleotides) under uncultured bacterium. RNAcentral describes it as "partial 16S ribosomal RNA". It matches the Rfam family "Bacterial small subunit ribosomal RNA", at positions 524 to 776 of the family's 1533-position model. The record is from RNAcentral.